Molecule: ribosomal RNA, 253 nt
Filed under: uncultured bacterium
Lineage: Bacteria
Description: partial 16S ribosomal RNA
Rfam family: Bacterial small subunit ribosomal RNA
Source: RNAcentral
UACAGAGGUCUCAACCGUUGUUCGGAUUCAUUGGGCGUAAAGGGUGCGUAGGCGGUCGCGCAAGUCGGCUGUGAAAUCUCAGGGCUCAACCCUGAAACUGCAUUCGAUACUGCGUGGCUAGAGUGCUGGAGAGGAGACUGGAAUUUACGGUGUAGCAGUGAAAUGCGUAGAUAUCGUAAGGAAGACCAGUGGCGAAGGCGAGUCUCUGGACAGCAACUGACGCUGAGGCACGAAGGCCAGGGGAGCAAACGGG